UCUGGCUCAGGAUGAACGCUAGCGGCAGGCUUAACACAUGCAAGUCGAGGGGUAGAGUUUCUUCGGAACUUGAGACCGGCGCACGGGUGCGUAACGCGUAUGCAAUCUACCUUAUACAGGGGAAUAGCCCAGAGAAAUUUGGAUUAAUGCCCCAUAGUAUUAUUGAAUCGCAUGGUUUAAUAAUUAAAGUUCCAACGGUAUAAGAUGAGCAUGCGUCCCAUUAGUUAGUUGGUAAGGUAACGGCUUACCAAGACAAUGAUGGGUAGGGGUCCUGAGAGGGAGAUCCCCCACACUGGUACUGAGACACGGACCAGACUCCUACGGGAGGCAGCAGUGAGGAAUAUUGGUCAAUGGGCGCAAGCCUGAACCAGCCAUGCCGCGUGCAGGAAGAAGCAUCUAUGGUGUGUAAACUGCUUUUAUACAGGAAGAAACAACGCUACGUGUAGCGUCUUGACGGUACUGUAAGAAUAAGGACCGGCUAAUCCG
RNAcentral lists this ribosomal RNA (486 nucleotides) under Flavobacterium sp. RNAcentral's name for it is "bacterial SSU rRNA". It matches the Rfam family "Bacterial small subunit ribosomal RNA", at positions 18 to 504 of the family's 1533-position model. The record is from RNAcentral. Lineage: Bacteria; Pseudomonadati; Bacteroidota; Flavobacteriia; Flavobacteriales; Flavobacteriaceae.